Molecule: long non-coding RNA, 581 nt
Organism: Molossus molossus (Pallas's mastiff bat)
Lineage: Eukaryota; Metazoa; Chordata; Mammalia; Chiroptera; Molossidae
Exons: 3
Source: RefSeq, a predicted model, not a curated record
GCCAGGGAGAGGUAGGGAGGAGGUGUGGAGGAGAAAGAGGGGAGAGAUGGAGACUGGUGGGGAUGCGGGAGAGAUGGAAAGACAGAGAUGGGAGAGACACACACGGAGACAGGGUUUGGGGGCCAGGUGGAGAAUAUUGAAGAUAUCACUGUGAAAUCUCUACCACAAAGAUGAGGAAACUGAGGCUCCAUCCAAGAGGGGACAGCACCUGCCCAGGGUCACACAGCAGGUGGUGCCUAGACUGAAAACCAAGCUUGACUCCAGAGCCUGCCUUUUCAUGUGCUCAGCUGGAGGACCACGAUUUCCCAGGGACUCUCAGCCAUCACCCUACCCACCAGUGGACCCAGGGCCUGAAGAGAGGAUGAUGGCAGUAGCCACACUCGUUCCGUGUGCAUUUAUCUGUGCUGCUCAACAUACCCAGGGCUUUUCAAACAACUUUUCCAUGAGCCGAAUAAACGCCUACUGAACACUGACUAAGCCAGGUCCCCUGCUAAGUGCGUUGUGAUUCACUUAGUUCACACAACCACCCCAUGAGGCCUAGCCGGUGUACCUCAGUGGAUUGAGCGUCAACCCAUGUAGCA